This 283-nucleotide small nuclear RNA is filed under the name Octodon degus (degu). RNAcentral's name for it is "7SK RNA (ENSODEG00000022908.1)". It matches the Rfam family "7SK RNA", at positions 1 to 285 of the family's 331-position model. From Rfam's summary of the family: 7SK was discovered as an abundant small nuclear RNA in the mid-70s but a possible function has only recently been suggested. Two independent studies have found that 7SK RNA binds the CDK9/cyclin T complex (known as elongation factor P-TEFb). P-TEFb activates transcription by phosphorylating the C-terminal domain of RNA polymerase II. The record is from RNAcentral. Lineage: Eukaryota; Metazoa; Chordata; Mammalia; Rodentia; Octodontidae.
GGAUGUGAGGGCGAUCUGGCUGCGACAUCUGUCACCCCGUUGAUCGCCAGGGUUGAUUCGGCUGAUCUGGCUGGCUAGGCGGGUGUCCCCUUCCUCCCUCAACGAUCCAUGUGCGUCCCUCCCGAAGCUGCGCGCUCGGUCGAAGAGGAUGACCACCCCCGAUAAAGGAGGACCGUUCCUCGGUCAAGGGUAUACGAGUAGCUGCGCUCCCCUGCUAGAACCUCCAAACAAGCUCUCAAGAGGUAUCCAAGAUAAGAUGCGGUACGCAAGGCACCAUGCCUCU